AUACUUACCUGGCAGGGGAGACACUCUGGUUAUGAAGGUGGUUUUCUCAGGGCGAGGCUUAUCCAAAAUACUUUGGAUGUGCUGACCCCUGCGAUUUCCCCAAAUGUGGGAAACUGCAUAAUUUGUGGUAGUUGGGACUGUGUUUGCUCUCUCCCCU
Molecule: small nuclear RNA, 157 nt
Filed under: Carlito syrichta (Philippine tarsier)
Lineage: Eukaryota; Metazoa; Chordata; Mammalia; Primates; Tarsiidae
Description: U1 spliceosomal RNA (ENSTSYG00000019663.2)
Rfam family: U1 spliceosomal RNA
About the family: U1 is a small nuclear RNA (snRNA) component of the spliceosome (involved in pre-mRNA splicing). Its 5' end forms complementary base pairs with the 5' splice junction, thus defining the 5' donor site of an intron.
Source: Rfam by way of RNAcentral